This 800-nucleotide ribosomal RNA is filed under the name human gut metagenome. Its description in RNAcentral is "bacterial SSU rRNA". It matches the Rfam family "Bacterial small subunit ribosomal RNA", at positions 85 to 904 of the family's 1533-position model. The record is from RNAcentral.
ACCGAGGAAAGUGGCGGACGGGUGAGUAAUAUGUAGAGAAUCUGCCCUAGAGAGGGGGACAACAGCUGGAAACGGUUGCUAAUACCCCAUAUGAGCGUACCUGAAAUGGUAUUCUUGAAAACUCCGGUGCUCUAGGAUGAGUCUGCAUCUGAUUAGCUAGUUGGGGGUGUAAUGGACCACCAAGGCGACGAUCAGUAGCUGGUUUGAGAGGAUGAUCAGCCACAAUGGGACUGAGACACGGCCCAUACUCCUACGGGAGGCAGCAGUAGGGAAUUUUGCGCAAUGGGCGAAAGCCUGACGCAGCAACGCCGCGUGAUUGAUAAAGCCCUUCGGGGUGUAAAGAUCUGUCAGUGGGGACGAAACUUGACGGUACCCACAGAGGAAGCACCGGCUAACUCCGUGCCAGCAGCCGCGGUAAUACGGAGGGUGCAAGCGUUGUCCGGAAUCAUUGGGCGUAAAGAGUUCGUAGGUGGUUUGUUAAGUUUGGUGUUAAAUGCAGAGGCUCAACUUCUGUUCGGCAUCGGAUACUGGCAGACUAGAAUGCGGUAGAGGUAAAGGGAAUUCCUGGUGUAGCGGUGAAAUGCGUAGAUAUCAGGAGGAACAUCGGUGGCGUAAGCGCUUUACUGGGCCGUAAUUGACACUGAGGAACGAAAGCCAGGGUAGCAAAUGGGAUUAGAUACCCCAGUAGUCCUGGCCGUAAACGAUGGAUACUAGGUGUUGCGGGUAUCGACCCCUGCAGUGCCGUAGCAAACGCGUUAAGUAUCCCGCCUGGGGAGUACGCACGCAAGUGUGAAACUCAA